This 407-nucleotide long non-coding RNA is filed under the name Mytilus galloprovincialis (Mediterranean mussel). Lineage: Eukaryota; Metazoa; Mollusca; Bivalvia; Mytilida; Mytilidae. The record is from RNAcentral.
UUAAAUAAAGGCAACAGUAGUUUACCGCUGUUCAAAACUCAUAAAUCCAUGGACAAAAAACAAAAUCGGGGUAACAAACUAAAACCGAGGGAAACGCAUUAAAUAUAAGAGGAGAACAACGACACAACACCGAAACGCAACACACACAGAAACGGACCAAGCAUCAGACAAAAUACCACGAGAAUAACAAAUAUAACAUCAAAACCAAAUACAUGACUUUGGGAUAGACAAGUACCGUGCCACGUCUUAUCUUAACACUUCUAGUAUAUAUAUUAGCUAAAUUGUGUCUGAUAUAUGGUUACAGAUGAUACUGUUGUGACAAGAAUUCUAAAUUGACCAUUUGAGGCAGAAAAUGUGUUCUUUAAUUGACAAAUAGGCAUACAGUAAGAUGUGGACUGGAGACAGAG